AGUGAACGCUGGCGGCAGGCCUAACACAUGCAAGUCGAACGGCAGCACCGUAACAGCUUGCUCUUAUGGGUGGCGAGUGGCGGACGGGUGAGGAAUACAUUGGAAUCUACUUUUUCGUGGGGGCUAACGUAGGUAAACUUACGCUAAUACCGCAUACUACUUUCGGUUGAAAUCAGGGGAGCUUCGUCCCUUGCGCGUUUGCUUGAGCCGUAGGCGGAUUAGGUAGUGGUAGUGGCAAAGCCCCACCAAGGCGACGAGCCGUAGCUGGGCUGAGAGGGUGAGCAGCCACGCUGGGGCUGAGGGCCAGUCCAGGCUCCUAAGGGAGGCCGCAGUGGGGAAUAUUGGAGCAUGGGCGCAAGCCUGAUCAAGGCCGCCCGCGUGGGUGAAGAAGGCCUUCGGGUUGUAAAGCCCUUUUGUUGGGAAAGAAAAGCUGCCGGUUAACACCCCGCUGUUCUGACGGUACCCAAAGAAGAAGCACCGGCUAACUACGUG
Molecule: ribosomal RNA, 492 nt
Filed under: uncultured bacterium
Lineage: Bacteria
Description: partial 16S ribosomal RNA
Rfam family: Bacterial small subunit ribosomal RNA
Source: RNAcentral